GACGAACGCUGGCGGCGUGCUUAACACAUGCAAGUCGAACGGAAAGGCUCCAGCUUGCUGGAGUACUCGAGUGGCGAACGGGUGAGUAACACGUGGGUAAUCUGCCCUGCACUCUGGGAUAAGCCUGGGAAACUGGGUCUAAUACUGGAUAUGACCUUUCUCCUUAUGGGGUUUGGUGGAAAGUUUUUCGGUGUAGGAUGAGCCCGCGGCCUAUCAGCUUGUUGGUGGGGUGAUGGCCUACCAAGGCGACGACGGGUAGCCGGCCUGAGAGGGUGAUCGGCCACAUUGGGACUGAGAUACGGCCCAGACUCCUACGGGAGGCAGCAGUGGGGAAUAUUGCACAAUGGGCGGAAGCCUGAUGCAGCGACGCCGCGUGAGGGAUGACGUCCUUCGGGUUGUAAACCUCUUUCAGCAGGGACGAAGCGUAAGUGACGGUACCUGCAGAAGAAGCACCGGCUAACUAGGUG
This 467-nucleotide ribosomal RNA is filed under the name uncultured bacterium. RNAcentral's name for it is "partial 16S ribosomal RNA". It matches the Rfam family "Bacterial small subunit ribosomal RNA", at positions 28 to 507 of the family's 1533-position model. The record is from RNAcentral.